RNAcentral lists this ribosomal RNA (498 nucleotides) under uncultured bacterium. Its description in RNAcentral is "bacterial SSU rRNA". It matches the Rfam family "Bacterial small subunit ribosomal RNA", at positions 899 to 1397 of the family's 1533-position model. The record is from RNAcentral.
ACUCAAAGGAAUUGACGGGGGCCCGCACAAGCGGUGGAGCAUGUGGAUUAAUUCGAUGCAACGCGAAGAACCUUACCAAGGCUUGACAUGGUAGCGACCGGUACAGAAAUGUACCUUUCCUUCGGGACGCUACACACAGGUGGUGCAUGGUUGUCGUCAGCUCGUGUCGUGAGAUGUUGGGUUAAGUCCCGCAACGAGCGCAACCCUUAUUUUCAGUUGCCAGCACGUUAAGGUGGGUACUCUGGAGAGACUGCCGUGGAUAACACGGAGGAAGGUGGGGAUGAUGUCAAAUCAUCAUGCCCCUUACGCCUUGGGCUUCACACGUGCUACAAUGGUCUUUACAAAGUGAAGCAAGACCGUGAGGUGGAGCGAACCACAAAAAAAGACCCCAGUUCGGAUUGCAGGCUGCAACUCGCCUGCAUGAAGUUGGAAUCGCUAGUAAUCGCGAAUCAGCAUGUCGCGGUGAAUACGUUCCCGGGCCUUGCACACACCGCCCGU